CUCUGCUUCAGCUGUGGGGCCACAGAAGGCAGGACUCAGUGACUGUCUCCACCAUGGCCUGGUCCCCUCUCCUCCUCACCCUCAUCGUUCACUGCACAGGAUCCUGGGCCCAGUCUGUGCUGACUCAGCCGCCCUCAGUGUCUAGAGCCCCAGGACAGAGUGUCACCAUCUCCUGCACUGGAAGCAGCUCCAACAUCGG
Molecule: long non-coding RNA, 199 nt
Organism: Hipposideros armiger (great roundleaf bat)
Lineage: Eukaryota; Metazoa; Chordata; Mammalia; Chiroptera; Hipposideridae
Exons: 2
Source: RefSeq, a predicted model, not a curated record